RNAcentral lists this ribosomal RNA (253 nucleotides) under uncultured bacterium. Its description in RNAcentral is "partial 16S ribosomal RNA". It matches the Rfam family "Bacterial small subunit ribosomal RNA", at positions 524 to 776 of the family's 1533-position model. The record is from RNAcentral.
UACGGAGGGUGCAAGCGUUAAUCGGAAUUACUGGGCGUAAAGCGUGCGUAGGCGGUUAUUUAAGUCAGAUGUGAAAGCCCCGGGCUUAACCUGGGAAUUGCAUUUGAUACUGGGUAACUAGAGUUUAAUAGAGGAGAGUGGAAUUUCAGGUGUAGCGGUGAAAUGCGUAGAGAUCUGAAGGAACACCAGUGGCGAAGGCGGCUCUCUGGAUUAAAACUGACGCUGAGGUACGAAAGCGUGGGUAGCAAACAGG